GCGUCAGUAGUGUAAAGGUAAGGGCACGCGUUCCUUGAAAGAAUGAGGUGCGGGCUCUAGUCCCGCUUGACGCG
Molecule: non-coding RNA, 74 nt
Organism: Parelaphostrongylus tenuis
Lineage: Eukaryota; Metazoa; Nematoda; Chromadorea; Rhabditida; Metastrongylidae
Source: the annotation of a GenBank genome assembly